GUGGACGUCGGGCCAAGUAUCCGGUUAAUUGUGUGGUUAUUUGCCCACAGCUGGGAUAAGUCUCAGGCUGGCUCUUCGGGGAGGAGAAGCCCCGCCCCCCGACUGCCCGACACAUUGUCCCCGCCCCUUCUCGCUGUCGGCGCUGACCGCUGUGACGUCAGUCGCAACCCUCCUGAGUAUUGCUCUCUCCGUCUGAGCUCAGUGACAGCACGGCCUAGCAGUAUCUUGCCAACUCCACCAUGGAGUUUGGCUGUUCGACAGAAAUGACAACAAACCCUCCAGCACCAG
Long non-coding RNA from Rhincodon typus (whale shark), 288 nucleotides. RefSeq lists it as uncharacterized. The record is from RefSeq and is a predicted model, not a curated record. The transcript has 2 exons. Lineage: Eukaryota; Metazoa; Chordata; Chondrichthyes; Orectolobiformes; Rhincodontidae.